This 725-nucleotide long non-coding RNA is filed under the name Anas platyrhynchos platyrhynchos (common mallard). Its description in RNAcentral is "lncRNA (ENSAPLG00000017287.1)". The record is from RNAcentral. Lineage: Eukaryota; Metazoa; Chordata; Aves; Anseriformes; Anatidae.
AUUUGCAAUUAAUUAGUGGUUAAUGAUGCUCUAUGCUUGAAGCUUAUGCUCUGUUGUUUUUUUUUGUUUGUUUGUUUGUUUUGUUUUGUUUUUUGAUUAUUAUUUAUUUAUUUAUUUUCCCCUGAUACUGUCAUCUAUUAAUUGUUCUUAUUUUUGUUGGCUUUCAGGCAUAGUUCAGUAUUUGUAAUGCUUUCCCUAAUGGAGCUAUUUACAUCCUGGUGUCAAUUCACUUUUCAUUUUGUUUCAAUCAGCUAAAUUAAGUAUACUUUAAAAAUCUCUCACUGUACAAUAUUUUCUUUAGCCAAUCAGAAAUUGAGUCAGAAGGAAACCAAACACAAUCUUCUACAUUUUUUUUUUUUUGUAACUUUUUUUUUUUUUGUCAGAAAUAUAGAAAUAUGUUCCAGGAGUACCAGUGUGCAGAGAUGGAAAACCUCUUGCAUCUCUCAGUUACCCUCUUUCCUGUUCUGCUAAGGAUCUCAUCAGCCUUUCUUUUCUCAGGACCUGGUCAGGAGCCCUUGAUGCAUUUCUCCUCUUUUAUGAUCCCCAGUUCCUUUUCAGGGUUGUUCCCAGCUCUGCCACUAAAGCCUGCAUUCCUGUCUCCCAGCAAGGAGUGGGGCUGUACCACAGCGCCUGCUGUCAGCCCGACCCAUCCAAGUGGCUGGAGCGAAACAACCAGUUUGCAGCUGUUGAAAAUAAUUUCCAUGUCAGUGUCCGCAAUCUGGUGA